GAUGAACGCUGGCGGCGUGCCUAAUACAUGCAAGUCGAGCGAAGCGAGGACGGGUGAGGAAGACGUGGUUAACCUCCUAUAAGACUGGGAUAACGUCGGGAAACAGGUGGUAAAGCGGCUAUUCAGAUAUGGAUGCUCGGUGGAUUAGCUAGUUGGUAAGGGAACGGCUUACCAAGGCAACGAUGCAUAGCCGACCUGAGAGGGUGAUCGGCCACACUGGGACUGAGACACGGUCCAGACUCCUACGGGAGGCAGCAGUAGGGAAUCUUCCGCAAUGGGCGAAAGCCUGACGGAGCAACGCCGCGUGAGUGAUGAAGGUUUUCGGAUCGUAAAACUCUGUUGUUAGGGAAGCGGUACCUAAUCAGAAAGCCACGGCUAACUACGUGCCAGCAGCCGCGGUAAUUC
This 405-nucleotide ribosomal RNA is filed under the name uncultured bacterium. Its description in RNAcentral is "partial 16S ribosomal RNA". It matches the Rfam family "Bacterial small subunit ribosomal RNA", at positions 28 to 526 of the family's 1533-position model. The record is from RNAcentral.